This 1362-nucleotide ribosomal RNA is filed under the name uncultured bacterium. RNAcentral describes it as "bacterial SSU rRNA". It matches the Rfam family "Bacterial small subunit ribosomal RNA", at positions 45 to 1400 of the family's 1533-position model. The record is from RNAcentral.
UGCCUAAUACAUGCAAGUCGAGCGAGAAGACGUAGCAAUACGUUUGUAAAGCGGCGAACGGGUGAGGAAUACAUGGGUAACCUACCCUCGAGUGGGGAAUAACUAGCCGAAAGGUUAGCUAAUACCGCGUACGCUUCUUGGACUUCGGUUCAGGGAGGAAAGCGAUACCGUGGGUAUCGCGCUCUUGGAUGGGCUCAUGUCCUAUCAGCUUGUUGGUGAGGUAACGGCUCACCAAGGCUACGACGGGUAGCUGGUCUGAGAGGACGAUCAGCCACACUGGCACUGCGACACGGGCCAGACUCCUACGGGAGGCAGCAGUAAGGAAUAUUGCGCAAUGGGCGAAAGCCUGACGCAGCGACGCCGCGUGGGGGAUGAAGGUCUUCGGAUUGUAAACCCCUUUCGGGAGGGAAGAUGGAAUGGGGUAACCCAUUCGGACGGUACCUCCAGAAGCAGCCACGGCUAACUUCGUGCCAGCAGCCGCGGUAAUACGAAGGUGGCAAGCGUUAUUCGGAUUUACUGGGCGUACAGGGAGCGUAGGCGGUUCGGUAAGCCCUUUGUGAAAUCUUCAGGCUUAACCUGGAACAGUCGGAGGGGACUGCCGGGCUAGAGGACGGGAGAGGAGCGCGGAAUUCCCGGUGUAGCGGUGAAAUGCGUAGAGAUCGGGAGGAAGGCCGGUGGCGAAGGCGGCGCUCUGGAACGUUUCUGACGCUGAGGCUCGAAAGCGUGGGGAGCAAACAGGAUUAGAUACCCUGGUAGUCCACGCCUUAAACGAUGUCAACUGGUUGUUGGGGAAGGCAACUUCCUUAGUAACGAAGCUAACGCGUGAAGUUGACCGCCUGGGGAGUACGGCCGCAAGGUUAAAACUCAAAGGAAUUGACGGGGACCCGCACAAGCGGUGGAUGAUGUGGAUUAAUUCGAUGCAACGCGAAGAACCUUACCUACCCUUGACAUGCCAGGAAGCUGGGUGAGAGCUCAGUGUGCCCGAAAGGGAGCCUGGACACAGGUGCUGCAUGGCUGUCGUCAGCUCGUGUCGUGAGAUGUUGGGUUAAGUCCCGCAACGAGCGCAACCCUUGUCACUAGUUGCUACGGAAACGGGCACUCUAGUGAGACUGCCGGUGACAAACCGGAGGAAGGUGGGGAUGACGUCAAGUCCUCAUGGCCCUUAUGGGUAGGGCUUCACACGUCAUACAAUGGCGCAUACAGAGGGUAGCCAACCCGCGAGGGGGAGCCAAUCUCAGAAAGUGCGUCGUAGUCCGGAUUGCAGUCUGCAACUCGACUGCAUGAAGUCGGAGUCGCUAGUAAUCGCAGAUCAGCAACGCUGCGGUGAAUACGUUCCCGGGCCUUGCACACACCGCCCGUCAC